RNAcentral lists this long non-coding RNA (281 nucleotides) under Elaeis guineensis (African oil palm). RNAcentral describes it as "long non-coding RNA (EGUI_LNC027693)". Lineage: Eukaryota; Viridiplantae; Streptophyta; Magnoliopsida; Arecales; Arecaceae. The record is from RNAcentral.
UACCCUAGGGUUUUGGCUUAGGGUUCGAAAAGUGAGAACGUGAGUUUCGAGUGCCGUGUGCUCACCAAACUUUACGGAGAGCAUCAUCAACCUCUCAAGUGCAUCUGCUGAUGAUCCGGACUAUCCAAAGAGUCGGCAGAUCAAGAUCGAAAGAGUUCGAUCAACAUCGGCCAUCAAAAGGGUUCAGCCAUGAACUAGCAUUCAUGAGGAGCCAAUCAGAUCGGAAGCUUCAUGUGAACGAUCCAUGGAGGUCAGACACACUGUGUGACUGUGUUGCAAUG